CCUACGGGUGGCAGCAGUAGGGAAUUUUUCACAAUGGGCGAAACCCUGAUGGAGCAAUGCCGCGUGAAUGAUGAAGUUCUUAUAUAUUGUAAGAUUCUUUUAUUUGGGAAGAAAAACUAAUGUAGGAAAUGACUUUAGUCUGACUGUACCAUUUGAAUAAGUAUCGGCUAACUAUGUGCCAGCAGCCGCGGUAAUACAUAGGAUGCAAGCGUUAGGCGGAUUUACUGGGCGUAAUACGCGCGCAGGCGGGUUAACAAGUUUGGUAUGAAAGGCUUUUGCUUAACGAAAGUUUGUAUCAAAAACUGUUAGGCUAGAGUGUAGUAGAGAGUUGUGGAAUUCCAUGUGGAGCGGUGGAAUGCGUAGAUAUAUGGAAGAACACCAGUGGCGAAGGCGAGAACUUAGGCUAUCACUGACGCUGAGGCUCGAAAGUGUGGGGAGCAAAUAGGAUUAGAUACCCGAGUAGUC
Molecule: ribosomal RNA, 465 nt
Filed under: uncultured bacterium
Lineage: Bacteria
Description: partial 16S ribosomal RNA
Rfam family: Bacterial small subunit ribosomal RNA
Source: RNAcentral